Molecule: ribosomal RNA, 135 nt
Filed under: Pundamilia nyererei
Lineage: Eukaryota; Metazoa; Chordata; Actinopteri; Cichliformes; Cichlidae
Source: RNAcentral
GUUUAUGGCCAUAUCACCCUGAGCACACGCAAUCAUGUUUGAUCUCGGACGCCAAGCAGGGUCAAGCCUGGUUAGUACUUGUAUCGGAGCAUCUAAUUAUGCAGGUCAUGCAGAGUGAACAGGAGUGAAUGUACU